GGAAACUGGGUCUAAUACCGAAUAUGACCACGCUCUUCAUGGGGUGUGGUGGAAAGCUUUUGCGGUGUGGGAUGGGCCCGCGGCCUAUCAGCUUGUUGGUGGGGUAAUGGCCUACCAAGGCGACGACGGGUAGCCGGCCUGAGAGGGUGACCGGCCACACUGGGACUGAGAUACGGCCCAGACUCCUACGGGAGGCAGCAGUGGGGAAUAUUGCACAAUGGGCGCAAGCCUGAUGCAGCGACGCCGCGUGAGGGAUGACGGCCUUCGGGUUGUAAACCUCUUUCACCAGGGACGAAGCGCAAGUGACGGUACCUGGAGAAGAAGCACCGGCCAACUACGUGCCAGCAGCCGCGGUAAUACGUAGGGUGCGAGCGUUGUCCGGAAUUACUGGGCGUAAAGAGCUCGUAGGUGGUUUGUCGCGUUGUUCGUGAAAACUCACAGCUUAACUGUGGGCGUGCGGGCGAUACGGGCAGACUAGAGUACUGCAGGGGAGACUGGAAUUCCUGGUGUAGCGGUGGAAUGCGCAGAUAUCAGGAGGAACACCGGUGGCGAAGGCGG
RNAcentral lists this ribosomal RNA (558 nucleotides) under Mycolicibacterium mucogenicum. RNAcentral describes it as "bacterial SSU rRNA". It matches the Rfam family "Bacterial small subunit ribosomal RNA", at positions 152 to 724 of the family's 1533-position model. Lineage: Bacteria; Bacillati; Actinomycetota; Actinomycetes; Mycobacteriales; Mycobacteriaceae. The record is from RNAcentral.